CCUACGGGAGGCAGCAGUGAGGAAUAUUGGUCAAUGGGCGUAAGCCUGAACCAGCCAAGUCGCGUGAAGGAAGAAGGAUCUACGGGUUGUAAACUUCUUUUAUAGGGGAAUAAAGGGAUUCACGUGUGGAGCUUUUCAUGUACCCUAUGAAUAAGCACCGGCUAACUCCGUGCCCGCAGCCGCGGUAAUACGGAGGGUUCGGGCGUUAUACGGAUUUAUUGGGGUUAAAGGUGGCGUAGGCUGUAUUUUAAUGCUGCGGUGAAAGUCUCUGGCUCAACCAUAGAAUUGCAGUUGAAACUGGAGGACUUGAGUGUGUGGGAGGAAGGCGGAAUGCGUGGUGUAGCGGUGAAAUGCAUAGAUAUCACGAAGAACUUCGAUUGCGAAGGCAGCUUACU
RNAcentral lists this ribosomal RNA (395 nucleotides) under uncultured bacterium. Its description in RNAcentral is "partial 16S ribosomal RNA". It matches the Rfam family "Bacterial small subunit ribosomal RNA", at positions 338 to 730 of the family's 1533-position model. The record is from RNAcentral.